UACGGAGGGGGCUAGCGUUGUUCGGAAUUACUGGGCGUAAAGCGCGCGUAGGCGGCUUUGUAAGUUAGAGGUGAAAGCCCGGGGCUCAACUCCGGAAUUGCCUUUAAGACUGCAUCGCUAGAAUUGUGGAGAGGUAAGUGGAAUUCCGAGUGUAGAGGUGAAAUUCGUAGAUAUUCGGAAGAACACCAGUGGCGAAGGCGACUUACUGGACACAUACUGACGCUGAGGUGCGAAAGCGUGGGGAGCAAACAGG
This 253-nucleotide ribosomal RNA is filed under the name uncultured bacterium. Its description in RNAcentral is "partial 16S ribosomal RNA". It matches the Rfam family "Bacterial small subunit ribosomal RNA", at positions 524 to 776 of the family's 1533-position model. The record is from RNAcentral.